This 460-nucleotide ribosomal RNA is filed under the name uncultured bacterium. Its description in RNAcentral is "partial 16S ribosomal RNA". It matches the Rfam family "Bacterial small subunit ribosomal RNA", at positions 338 to 795 of the family's 1533-position model. The record is from RNAcentral.
CCUACGGGUGGCAGCAGUGAGGAAUAUUGGUCAAUGGGCGCAAGCCUGAACCAGCCAAGUAGCGUGAAUGAUGACUGCCCUACGGGUUGUAAACUUCUUUUAUAAAGGAAUAAAGUGAGGCGCGUGUGCCUUUUUGUAUGUACUUUAUGAAUAAGGAUCGGCUAACUCCGUGCCAGCAGCCGCGGUAAUACGGAGGAUCCGAGCGUUAUCCGGAUUUAUUGGGUUUAAAGGGAGCGUAGAUGGGUUGUUAAGUCAGUUGUGAAAGUUUGCGGCUCAACCGUAAAAUUGCAAUUGAUACUGGGAGUCUUGAGUACAGUUGAGGUAGGCGGAAUUCGGGGUGUAGCGGUGAAAUGCUUAGAUAUAACGAAGAACGCCGAUUGCGAAGGCAGCUUACUAAACUGCCACUGACAUUGAUGCUCGAAAGUGUGGGUAGCAAACAGGAUUUGAUACCCCAGUAGUC